AUUUAAAUAAUUUAAUAUUAAAAUAUUGAUUUGUGGUAUCAAAAAUAUGAGUAAAUUCAUUUUAAAUU
This 68-nucleotide transfer RNA is filed under the name Singara diversalis. RNAcentral's name for it is "tRNA-His". The record is from RNAcentral. Lineage: Eukaryota; Metazoa; Arthropoda; Insecta; Lepidoptera; Erebidae.